UACGGGGGAGCAAGCGUUGUUCGGAUUUACUGGGCGUAAAGGGCGCGGUAGGCGGUCGUGACAAGUCACUUGUGAAAUCUCCGGGCUUAACUCGGAACGGUCAAGUGAUACUGUCGGACUAGAGUACAGAAGGGGCAACUGGAAUUCUCGGUGUAGCGGUGAAAUGCGUAGAUAUCGAGAGGAACACCUGCGGCGAAGGCGGGUUGCUGGGCUGAUACUGACGUGAGGCGCGAAAGCCAGGGGAGCG
RNAcentral lists this ribosomal RNA (247 nucleotides) under uncultured bacterium. RNAcentral's name for it is "partial 16S ribosomal RNA". It matches the Rfam family "Bacterial small subunit ribosomal RNA", at positions 524 to 770 of the family's 1533-position model. The record is from RNAcentral.